AGUGAACGCUGGCGGUAGGCCUAACACAUGCAAGUCGAACGGCAGCACAGUAAGAGCUUGCUCUUACGGGUGGCGAGUGGCGGACGGGUGAGGAAUACAUCGGAAUCUACUUUUUCGUGGGGGAUAACGUAGGGAAACUUACGCUAAUACCGCAUACGACCUACGGGUGAAAGCAGGGGAUCUUCGGACCUUGCGCGAUUGAAUGAGCCGAUGUCGGAUUAGCUAGUUGGCGGGGUAAAGGCCCACCAAGGCGACGAUCCGUAGCUGGUCUGAGAGGAUGGUCAGCCACACUGGAACUGAGACACGGUCCAGACUCCUACGGGAGGCAGCAGCGGGGAAUAUUGGACAAUGGGCGCAAGCCUGAUCCAGCCAUACCGCGUGGGUGAAGAAGGCCUUCGGGUUGUAAAGCCCUUUUGUUGGGAAAGAAAAGCAGCAGGUUAAUACCCCGCUGUUCUGACGGUACCCAAAGAAUAAGCACCGGCUAACUUCGUG
RNAcentral lists this ribosomal RNA (492 nucleotides) under uncultured bacterium. RNAcentral describes it as "partial 16S ribosomal RNA". It matches the Rfam family "Bacterial small subunit ribosomal RNA", at positions 29 to 507 of the family's 1533-position model. The record is from RNAcentral.